GGAAGUAAAAGUCGUAGCAAGGUUUCCGUAGGUGAACCUGCGGAAGGAUCAUUAUCGAACUACUUAUUUAGCGUUCCGUGCUAUCCCAUUGUUUUAUUUACCCUGUUGCUUCCACUGGAUGAGUUUCCAUACCUUGUGUUUGAGAAACUUUGGCUUGUGUAAGAUUCAUUCACGGCCAGCCAGUGAGAAGACCAUUUACAAAACCCUGUUAAGAACCAAUUGUCUGAAUAUUUUACUCCAAUGAAAUAAAACUUUCAACAACGGAUCUCUGGGCUCUU
RNAcentral lists this unclassified non-coding RNA (278 nucleotides) under plant metagenome. RNAcentral's name for it is "partial contains small subunit ribosomal RNA and internal transcribed spacer 1". The stretch from base 1 to 54 matches the Rfam family "Eukaryotic small subunit ribosomal RNA", at positions 1778 to 1831 of the family's 1831-position model. The record is from RNAcentral.